GAUGAACGCUGGCGGCGUGCCUAAUACAUGCAAGUCGAGCGAACGGACGAGAAGCUUGCUUCUCUGAUGUUAGCGGCGGACGGGUGAGUAACACGUGGAUAACCUACCUAUAAGACUGGGAUAACUUCGGGAAACCGGAGCUAAUACCGGAUGAUAUUUUGAACCGCAUGGUUCAAAAGUGAAAGACGGUCUUGCUGUCACUUAUAGAUGGAUCCGCGCUGCAUUAGCUAGUUGGUAAGGUAACGGCUUACCAAGGCAACGAUGCAUAGCCGACCUGAGAGGGGGAUCGGCCACACUGGAACUGAGACACGGUCCAGACUCCUACGGGAGGCAGCAGUAGGGAAUGUUCCGCAAUGGGCGAAAGCCUGACGGAGCAACGCCGCGUGAGUGAUGAAGGUCUUCGGAUCGUAAAACUCUGUUAUUAGGGAAGAACAUAUGUGUAAGUAACUGUGCACAUCUUGACGGUACCUAAUCAGAAAGCCACGGCUAACUACGUG
This 497-nucleotide ribosomal RNA is filed under the name uncultured bacterium. RNAcentral's name for it is "partial 16S ribosomal RNA". It matches the Rfam family "Bacterial small subunit ribosomal RNA", at positions 28 to 507 of the family's 1533-position model. The record is from RNAcentral.